CCCUGCCUUUUGUACACACCGCCCGUCGCUCCUACCGAUUGAAUGGUCCGGUGAAAUCUUCGGACCGCGCGCUCCGUGCUGCUUGCAGCGCAGUGCGCGCGGGAAGUUGAUUAAACCUUAUCAUUUAG
This 128-nucleotide ribosomal RNA is filed under the name uncultured eukaryote. RNAcentral describes it as "partial small subunit ribosomal RNA". It matches the Rfam family "Eukaryotic small subunit ribosomal RNA", at positions 1651 to 1776 of the family's 1831-position model. The record is from RNAcentral.